This 243-nucleotide ribosomal RNA is filed under the name uncultured bacterium. RNAcentral describes it as "partial 16S ribosomal RNA". It matches the Rfam family "Bacterial small subunit ribosomal RNA", at positions 15 to 248 of the family's 1533-position model. The record is from RNAcentral.
GAUCCUGGCUCAGGAUGAACGCUAGCUACAGGCUUAACACAUGCAAGUCGAGGGGCAUCAGUUUGGUUUGCUUGCAAACCAAAGCUGGCGACCGGCGCACGGGUGAGUAACACGUAUCCAACCUGCCUCAUACUCGGGGAUAGCCUUUCGAAAGAAAGAUUAAUAUCCGAUAGCAUAAUUCUUCCGCAUGGUAGAACUAUUAAAGAAUUUCGGUCAUCGAUGGGGAUGCGUUCCAUUAGGUUG